This 1136-nucleotide ribosomal RNA is filed under the name Haemophilus haemolyticus. Its description in RNAcentral is "partial 23S ribosomal RNA". It matches the Rfam family "Bacterial large subunit ribosomal RNA", at positions 1 to 1173 of the family's 2925-position model. Lineage: Bacteria; Pseudomonadati; Pseudomonadota; Gammaproteobacteria; Pasteurellales; Pasteurellaceae. The record is from RNAcentral.
GUUGUAUAGUUAAGUGACUAAGCGUACAAGGUGGAUGCCUUGGCAAUCAGAGGCGAAGAAGGACGUGCUAAUCUGCGAAAAGCUUGGAUGAGUCGAUAAGAGGCGUUUAAUCCAAGAUAUCCGAAUGGGGAAACCCAGUAGAUGAAGAAUCUACUAUCACUUACUGAAUCCAUAGGUAAGUGAGGCAAACCGGGAGAACUGAAACAUCUAAGUACCCCGAGGAAAAGAAAUCAACCGAGAUUUCGUCAGUAGCGGCGAGCGAAAGCGAAAGAGCCUGUUAAUGAUAACAGCAGAGAUAGAGGAAUAAGCUGGGAAGCUUAGCGACACAGGGUGAUAGCCCCGUACUCGACAUCCAGGCUGUGGUACUAAGUUAACGAGAAGUAGGGCGGGACACGUGAUAUCCUGUUUGAAGAAGGGGGGACCAUCCUCCAAGGCUAAAUACUCCUGAUUGACCGAUAGUGAACCAGUACUGUGAAGGAAAGGCGAAAAGAACCCCGGUGAGGGGAGUGAAAUAGAACCUGAAACCUUGUACGUACAAGCAGUGGGAGCCUGAAAGGGUGACUGCGUACCUUUUGUAUAAUGGGUCAGCGACUUAUAUUUUGUAGCGAGGUUAACCGAAUAGGGGAGCCGAAGGGAAACCGAGUCUUAACUGGGCGUCUAGUUGCAAGGUAUAGACCCGAAACCCGGUGAUCUAGCCAUGGGCAGGUUGAAGGUUGGGUAACACUAACUGGAGGACCGAACCGACUAAUGUUGAAAAAUUAGCGGAUGACUUGUGGCUGGGGGUGAAAGGCCAAUCAAACCGGGAGAUAGCUGGUUCUCCCCGAAAUCUAUUUAGGUAGAGCCUUGAGUGGACACCUUUGGGGGUAGAGCACUGUUUCGGCUAGGGGUCCAUCCCGGAUUACCAACCCGAUGCAAACUACGAAUACCAAAGAGUGAUACUCAGGAGACACACGGCGGGUGCUAACGUCCGUCGUGGAGAGGGAAACAACCCAGACCGCCAGCUAAGGUCCCAAAGUCUAUAUUAAGUGGGAAACGAAGUGGGAAGGCUUAGACAGCUAGGAUGUUGGCUUAGAAGCAGCCAUCAUUUAAAGAAAGCGUAAUAGCUCACUAGUCGAGUCGGCCUGCGCGGAAGAUGU